AAGUCGUAACAAGGUUUCCGUAGGUGAACCUGCGGAAGGAUCAUUAACACGUAUCCAACGUUAAACAACCCUGUGAACUUUCAGCGCUCUUGUAGCCCCGGAGGAACAGCAAUCCCGGUAAAUCAAAUGGCGGAAAGAGUUUUGAUUCGGGACCUCUGUCCAAAAGGUAUCAAGUUACAAUCGAGCAGAGCAGUGGCAUGGUUUCCCUAAGCAGUGCAGAAGGAUCCACUGAGUAAGGAUAACGCAUCACGGUUGCCAGAGGUCGAUCACCGGCCGGCAGACAUGUCACAGGCCUAAUCAAGCCUCGCGGAAACGCCGGGCAUAAAAACCGAACAACUGUUAACAAUGGAUAUCUUGGUUCUC
This 363-nucleotide unclassified non-coding RNA is filed under the name fungal sp. RNAcentral's name for it is "partial internal transcribed spacer region". The stretch from base 1 to 46 matches the Rfam family "Eukaryotic small subunit ribosomal RNA", at positions 1786 to 1831 of the family's 1831-position model. Lineage: Eukaryota; Fungi. The record is from RNAcentral.